AACGCAUAUUGCGCUCGAGCCCUCGGGCAAGAGCAUGUCUGCCUCAGCGUCGGUUUAUGUCCUCACCCCUCCCAAUUUGUUGGGUGGUUUUGCUUUCCUUGCAAGCCAUUGGGGUGGAUCUGGCUUCCCCAAUCAGCCAUCGUGCAGAUUGGGUUGGCUGAAGUGCAGAGGCUUAAUCAAGAACCCAAUGUGGGCUUCAACUGGAUAGGUAGCACCGGUUUCAGCCGACUACACGAAGUUGUUGCUUGUGGAUCUUGAUAGGAGCCCAGCAGGAACGUGCUUACGGCAUGCCUAAACUUUCGACCUGAGCUCAGGCAAGGCUACCCGCUGAACUUAA
This 337-nucleotide unclassified non-coding RNA is filed under the name uncultured fungus. RNAcentral's name for it is "partial contains 5.8S ribosomal RNA, internal transcribed spacer 2, and large subunit ribosomal RNA". The record is from RNAcentral. Lineage: Eukaryota; Fungi.